AACGAACGCUGGCGGCGUGCCUAACACAUGCAAGUCGAACGAAGGCUCCGGCCUUUGUGGCGCACGGGGGCGUAACGCGUGGGGAUCUGCCCUUGGGUUCCGAAUAACGUCCGGAAACUGACGCUAAUGCCAGAGGGUCACAUAACGCCAAAGAUUUAUCGCUCAAGGAUGAGCCCGCGUCGGAUUCGCUAGUUGGUGAGGGAAAAGCUCACCAAGGCGACGAUGCGUAGCUGGUCGGAGAGGAUGAUCAGCCACACUGGGACUGAGACACGGCCCAGACUCCUACGGGAGGGAGCAGUGGGGAAUAUUGGACGAGGGGCGAAAGCCUGAUCCAGCAGUGCGCGGUGAGUGAUGAAGGCCGUAGGGUUGUAAAGCUCUUUUACCCGGGAUGAUAAUGACGGUACCGGGUGAAUAAGCUCCGGCUAACUACGUG
RNAcentral lists this ribosomal RNA (433 nucleotides) under uncultured bacterium. Its description in RNAcentral is "partial 16S ribosomal RNA". It matches the Rfam family "Bacterial small subunit ribosomal RNA", at positions 29 to 507 of the family's 1533-position model. The record is from RNAcentral.